GUAUCGUCUGAGUUGUUGUCCCACGAAUGUUUACUUCAUAAACAUUUUGUUUUCUAUAUGUCAUAUUUUGCCGCAUUUGUUGCUUUCCCCACAUCCUUCCUUUUGUCUAUAUUAUUAUGAUAUUCUCCUGGAAAGAGCUCUCUUUGAAUAAAAGGGAUCAACGAACCCAUUACCUUACCUUUAAGAUAGAUCAGUAAACAUGGGCAUAAUUAUGGGUGAUUAUUCAGACUAGUGCACACAUUUUACAGUUCAAACAAGGCAAUGCCGAGCGUGGCACCCCCUCGUAUGUAACAUAUUGGGGACAAAUAUGGACACUAUAUUUGUAUAUGACACAUGCAGAAAAUGGUAAAUUGAAUAUGCAUAUUUGAUACAUAAACUAUUUUUUAGAAAUCAACCAAAACAUUCAGUAACUGGAAAUACCUUUAAUAUUGUCUUUAGAUCCAGCAGGUAAAAAAAUGAGCAACCAAUUUCCUGUGUAUUAUGCUAUUUCAAGGAGAAAAAAACAAGUCCAUCUGCAUGACCUUGACCUUUGGCCUUGAACGUAAAAAAUGUCAGAUCAUUACAAGGAGGAACAAUAUACCAAAUGUGGUUAAAAUCUUUUGAAGCAUAUUGGUUUUAGAGUGUCCACAAGGGUGAUAUUACCUUGUAUUACAACUGCCACUGUGACCUUGACCUUUAAAGUCAAUAGCGCUUAAGAUAUUCUUAACGAGUAACACCAUACCAAGUUUUGAGCAUUUUGGUUCUAGAGUGUCCAUAACAGUUUUAUCUACACGCAACUUACAUGUAGUAGGCGAGGGGAUAAUAAACUAGUUUUAUAAGAAUUAGACAAAAAAUUCCCGCCUAUAACUUAAAUGCAUCGUAAGCUGUACACGACGUCUUUUAGACAUCGUAUGGCCAUCGCGCCAUCAUCGUUAUCUAUCGUGUAGCCUUCGUAAUCCAUCGUGUAGCCUUCGGCUGAGAUAUGAAGCUUAAAUACCCGUCUUCGGUUAACCUUCGUAUGUCCAUCUUUUGCUAUCGUAUAUAAUUUCGGCGCCAUCGUAUAGACUUCGUUAUUCAUCGUACUUGCUUCGGUCACUUUUUGGUAUUUUAACGAGAUCGGGACCAACUUCGUACGAACUUACAAUUUUCGUAUUCG
RNAcentral lists this long non-coding RNA (1135 nucleotides) under Mytilus galloprovincialis (Mediterranean mussel). Lineage: Eukaryota; Metazoa; Mollusca; Bivalvia; Mytilida; Mytilidae. The record is from RNAcentral.